RNAcentral lists this ribosomal RNA (372 nucleotides) under uncultured organism. RNAcentral describes it as "bacterial SSU rRNA". It matches the Rfam family "Bacterial small subunit ribosomal RNA", at positions 526 to 896 of the family's 1533-position model. The record is from RNAcentral.
CAGAGGGGGCAAGCGUUAUUCGGAAUUAUUGGGCGUAAAGGGCGCGUAGGCGGCUUUUCAAGUGACGGGUGAAAUCCCUCGGCUUAACCGAGGAACUGCCUGUCAGACUGGAAGGCUUGAGACCGGGAGAGGUGAGUGGAAUUCCCAGUGUAGCGGUGAAAUGCGUAGAUAUUGGGAGGAACACCAGUGGCGAAGGCGGCUCACUGGACCGGUACUGACGCUGAGGCGCGAAAGCGUGGGGAGCAAACAGGAUUAGAUACCCUGGUAGUCCACGCCGUAAACGAUGAGUGCUUGGUGUAGCGGGUAUCGACCCCUGCUGUGCCGAAGUCAACACAUUAAGCACUCCGCCUGGGGAGUACGGUCGCAAGACUG